CUGGGGAGGAGAAAGAUGCUCUGAGAUCUCCCUGAUAUGAUGAGAUAAAAAGAGGGGAAAUCAACAUGGUGGAGGAGAGUGAGAUAGAGGAGUUGUUCUCAGAUUCGAGUCUACAUUGGUGUUCACCUCUGUUUACCUGCUGGACAUGGAGCAGGUUGGCCCUCUUUCAUAAACCUACCCUGAAGACUCAGAGCACCAUGGCCAAGUGCAUACUUAGAAGGAAACACUAGGUCUUAGUGCCUUUAGUGGCUGACUGGCACCCUCCCACAAGAAGAGAAUAAAAGAUACAUCCACUUCCUAAUCCUCCUCAGAACCUGUGACUGUGACCUCACUUGGGUCUUUGUAGAUGUUAUUAAACUAGGGUCUCAAGAUGAGGUCAUCCUGGAUUAUUCUGUCCCUCAAUCUAAGAACUGCUGCCCUUCUGAGGGACACACAGAGGAGAGGCCAUAGAGAUUGGAAUGAUGAGGCCACAAAAAAUGCCACCAGCCACCAGGAGCUGGGAAAGGCCAGAAAGCAUUCUUCCCAGGAGUCUCCAGAGGGAUCACUGCUCUGCCAGUGCCUGGAGUCCACACUUCUGGCACUGGAACUGGGAGAGAUUCAACUUCUGCUCUUUUAAGUCACCAAGAUUACAGCAAUUUGCUAAGGCAGCCUGGGAAAACCACCACAUGGUGAAAGGGGGUUCCUGGCUCAGGCACAGUGAGCUAGUGUGAGUUAGGAUGCAGGACCCGCAACAGCUUAAAGGAGAUGGAUGCUUAUUGCUGUCUCACACCACAGGCUGACCCUAAGCGGUGAGGGCUGAGAGGGUGUCACGACCUGAGGUUCCAUGAUUACCUAGAAUGAUGAUCUUGUCUGUAAGGGUGACUGAUUUAAUACUGCAACCUGCCCCUCCCUUACCCCUGCACUUUCUAUGCUCACUUUGCUGUUCCCAACUCUUUUUCUUUUUCCUGAAACCACAUCCCUUAACACACUAUAUGUCGUGGCUUCUAUCUAGAUGUCCCCCAAAAGCUUCAUGCCUCCAGAGAUGGGGCUUUUAGAAGGUGAUUUGUUUAUGGGGCAGCAUAGCUGACUUGCUAGGACUUGCUAGGAGGUUGGAUCUGAUCAGAAGAGGUGGUCCCUGGGGGUGCGACCUAGAAGUUUGUCUCUUCCUGUCUCCUCCCUCCACUCUCUCUGCUUCCUGUCUGCCCCACCAUCCUGCCUUGGAGUCGGCCAAUUACAUACUGAAAUGUGAGCCAAAAUAAUCCUCUCCUGCC
Heterocephalus glaber (naked mole-rat) is the source of this 1250-nucleotide long non-coding RNA. The record is from Ensembl. NCBI's taxonomy places the organism in Eukaryota, Metazoa, Chordata, Mammalia, Rodentia, Bathyergidae.